Molecule: ribosomal RNA, 381 nt
Filed under: uncultured bacterium
Lineage: Bacteria
Description: bacterial SSU rRNA
Rfam family: Bacterial small subunit ribosomal RNA
Source: RNAcentral
GACGAACGCUGGCGGCGUGCUUAACACAUGCAAGUCGAGCGGUAAGGCCCUUUCGGGGGUACACGAGCGGCGAACGGGUGAGUAACACGUGGGUGACCUGCCCUCAGCUCUGGGAUAAGCCUGGGAAACUGGGUCUAAUACUGGAUAUGACUCCACGGUGCAUGUCGUGGGGUGGAAAGCCUUGUGCGGCUGAGGAUGGGCCCGCGGCCUAUCAGCUAGUUGGUGGGGUAAAAGCCUACCAAGGCGGCGACGGGUAGCUGGUCUGAGAGGAUGAUCAGCCACACUGGGACUGAGACACGGCCCAGACUCCUACGGGAGGCAGCAGUGGGGAAUAUUGGACAAUGGGCGAAAGCCUGAUCCAGCAAUGCCGCGUGUGUGAAG